GGAGAAACCCUUUGGCCCUAUAGUUGAUAACAAUGCAUAUCACAAACCCAGUCAGCAUACAUAUAUUAUUUUAUUUUCUGGAAUUUCAUUCACAUACCAUUGAGAGUUCCAUCUGGGAAAAAUGCCCAGAAUGAAUAAGGGAGGAAUCACUUUUUCCCCUACCUUGUUCUCACUGAAGGAAAGCUCGAGCUCGGAGAUGUCUUGUUGGGCUGCAAGAGUUGCUUUGAGUGAAGGGAUCACAUCCUCCUCCAUCAUCUCAGGAAGAGGCUUUGCCGGAGCCUUUUCUGCACGCUUAGGCUUCGGCUUUGGCUUCGCACCCUCCACCGCCUCUUUCUCCUCCUUCGUCUCAGCAGCAGCAACUGAUUUAACAAUCACCAUAUAUAUUACACUCACAACCUGCACAGGUUAAGCCGAGAAAAUUAAUCACUGAAGAUCUUUGCAUGCAAUAGGGAAAAUCUUGAACUGAUACCUGUGAUGAUGAUGAGGUAGCUCUGCUUUUCUGGCACAAAUAAGAAGAUGGGCAUCUGAAAGAUGCAAUGGACCCUCCUGUUGUAGCCAUUUUUCUUGUAUUGUUUUUUAUAAGAAGCUUCUUUUGCUAUUUUUCAACUAACUUUUUGUUUUGGUGUAAAAUUUUGAGAAUGUGGAUACUGCUCACAGUAACAUGGAGGAAGAUGAAGGCUGCAGCUCUAUCAUCCACAUAUUAUUGGUUAA
This is a long non-coding RNA of Salvia splendens (bonfire salvia), 711 nucleotides long. RefSeq lists it as uncharacterized. The transcript has 3 exons. Lineage: Eukaryota; Viridiplantae; Streptophyta; Magnoliopsida; Lamiales; Lamiaceae. The record is from RefSeq and is a predicted model, not a curated record.